GUCCUCGCUUCAGCAACACGUGUACUAAAAUAUCGGAACAGUACAGAGAAGAUUAGCACGGCCCCUGCGCAAGGAUGACUCGCAAACUGUAAAGUGCUCCAUAGCUUA
This 108-nucleotide small nuclear RNA is filed under the name Moschus moschiferus (Siberian musk deer). The record is from RNAcentral. Lineage: Eukaryota; Metazoa; Chordata; Mammalia; Artiodactyla; Moschidae.